RNAcentral lists this long non-coding RNA (608 nucleotides) under Prunus dulcis (almond). RNAcentral's name for it is "sRNA ncRNA". The record is from RNAcentral. Lineage: Eukaryota; Viridiplantae; Streptophyta; Magnoliopsida; Rosales; Rosaceae.
CUAAAGGGCUUUCUGGAAGCUAUUUUGGUUGCCUAAUUAAGCCUGGGGUAUGUUCACGAUAUAAAUACCUACUUUGGUUUGGUUCAUCAAGCAGAAAAAAAGUGUUGCUCUUUUCCUUUUUCAAAUUAUGUGCGUCUUUGCAAGGCGUAGAUAUACAUCUUUUCAAGGCGUAGAUAAUAUUUUGGUGGUGCAUGAGAUAUUACAUUCUUUGAAACAGAAGAGGGGGGUGAGUUUUGUGAGAUGGCGCUGAAGCUUGACAUGGCAAAAGCCUAUGAUAGAGUGGAGUGGUGUUUUGUAGGUGAUAUGUUACACACCCUUGGCUUUGCCGAGAAUUUCUGUCAUUGGAUAAUGGAAUGUAUCUCCACAAUCACGUACAGUAUAAUGAUCAAUAGGGAGGCUACGGAUAACAUUGUGUCGUUGAGAGGGCUCGUCAAGGAUGUAGAACUGUAAGUAAUGAGCUGAUUUGCAUAAGUAUAAGCCUAAAACUAUAAUAGUGAAUGCACUUAGUCUCUUAGAAUGGCAGGUGUAAGGCCCCAAACUGUAAGGCUCAUUUAAGCCACGUGUAGAAAUCUUAGAAUAGCUGAAUGCAUGGCUGAGAUACAAUAUGA